RNAcentral lists this ribosomal RNA (347 nucleotides) under uncultured bacterium. RNAcentral's name for it is "partial 16S ribosomal RNA". It matches the Rfam family "Bacterial small subunit ribosomal RNA", at positions 338 to 682 of the family's 1533-position model. The record is from RNAcentral.
CCUACGGGUGACAGCAGUGAGGAAGAUUGGUCAAUGGGCGCGAGCCUGAACCAGCCAAGUAGCGUGAAGGAUGACUGCCCUACGGGGUGUAAACUUCUUUUAUAAAGGAAUAAAGUGAGGCACGUGUGCCUUUUUGUAUGGACGUUAUGAAUAAGGAUCGGCUAACUCCGUGCCAGCAGCCGCGGUAAUACGGAGGAUCCGAGCGUUAUCCGGAUUUAUUGGGUUUAAAGGGAGCGUAGAUGGGUUGUUAAGUCAGUUGUGAAAGUUUGCGGCUCAACCGUAAAAUUGCAAUUGAUACUGGCAGUCUUUCGUCCAGUUGCGGUAGGCGGACUUCGUUGUGUAGCGGU